This 513-nucleotide long non-coding RNA is filed under the name Panax ginseng (ginseng). RNAcentral's name for it is "long non-coding RNA (PGIN_LNC012267)". The record is from RNAcentral. Lineage: Eukaryota; Viridiplantae; Streptophyta; Magnoliopsida; Apiales; Araliaceae.
UUGGUAGAAAUGUAAUACCUGAUACCACGGCGACAUUGAAUAUUAAUUUUCUACUAUGUCAAGCAUCCUGCUAGUACUUCCAUUAUCAAUAAACUUCUAGAACGCCUAAUGUGAUCCAGAAGAUCAUUAAACCCAGGAAAUAAAGAAAAAAUAAAUUCACAAUCCAACUGCUUAUUAAUCAUAGAAUCCUUGGAUUGGUCAAUCAUACAAUAGAAAAGCUUUUUCAAGCAAGAAUAAAACUGGAAUAGAAGGAAGCAUAUAUAUAAACAAUGAUGAUACCAACAGUCUUGCAGCAUUUUAAAGUUGAAAGCAAAAGAAUACACAGGAUAUGAGAGUAGUUUACCAAAAGUUUUUCAGGUUCGGAUGAACAUCAUAUACUCGUACAAUAAGCAAAUACAACUUGGGUGAAGUACAAGGCUGCAAAAGAACAAAAAGAAUGAAUAAGAUAAAUUCUGAACUUGUGUUGCCAAUAAACGACUUAUAAGCACUACUUUCUUAACGGACUUAUCCUAG